GGAAGCGUGCCAGAGUGGUCGAUCGGGCCUGUCUUGAAAACAGGUAGACCCGCAAGGGUCUCAGAGGUUCGAAUCCUCUCGCUUCCGCCA
This 90-nucleotide transfer RNA is filed under the name Candidatus Peribacteria bacterium RIFCSPLOWO2_01_FULL_53_10. RNAcentral describes it as "tRNA-Ser". It matches the Rfam family "tRNA". From Rfam's summary of the family: Transfer RNA (tRNA) molecules are approximately 80 nucleotides in length. The record is from RNAcentral. RNAcentral also lists the same sequence under 1 other name. Lineage: Bacteria; Candidatus Peregrinibacteriota; Candidatus Peribacteria.